This 371-nucleotide ribosomal RNA is filed under the name uncultured organism. RNAcentral's name for it is "bacterial SSU rRNA". It matches the Rfam family "Bacterial small subunit ribosomal RNA", at positions 526 to 896 of the family's 1533-position model. The record is from RNAcentral.
CGAAGGGGGCUAGCGUUGCUCGGAAUUACUGGGCGUAAAGGGAGCGUAGGCGGAUAGUUUAGUCAGAGGUGAAAGCCCAGGGCUCAACCUUGGAAUUGCCUUUGAUACUGGCUAUCUUGAGUACGGAAGAGGUAUGUGGAACUCCGAGUGUAGAGGUGAAAUUCGUAGAUAUUCGGAAGAACACCAGUGGCGAAGGCGACAUACUGGUCCGUUACUGACGCUGAGGCUCGAAAGCGUGGGGAGCAAACAGGAUUAGAUACCCUGGUAGUCCACGCUGUAAACGAUGAGUGCUAGUUGUCGGCAGGCAUGCCUGUCGGUGACGCAGCUAACGCAUUAAGCACUCCGCCUGGGGGAGUACGGUCGCAAGAUUA